GCCACGGUGGUCUAGCGGUCAGAAUACUAGCCUUGUAAGCCUGGGGUCCCGGGUUCAAUUCCCGGUGGUGCUC
RNAcentral lists this transfer RNA (73 nucleotides) under Zootermopsis nevadensis. It matches the Rfam family "tRNA". Rfam says of the family: Transfer RNA (tRNA) molecules are approximately 80 nucleotides in length. Lineage: Eukaryota; Metazoa; Arthropoda; Insecta; Blattodea; Termopsidae. The record is from Rfam by way of RNAcentral.